RNAcentral lists this ribosomal RNA (2515 nucleotides) under Escherichia coli. RNAcentral's name for it is "partial 23S ribosomal RNA". It matches the Rfam family "Bacterial large subunit ribosomal RNA", at positions 442 to 2925 of the family's 2925-position model. Lineage: Bacteria; Pseudomonadati; Pseudomonadota; Gammaproteobacteria; Enterobacterales; Enterobacteriaceae. The record is from RNAcentral.
AUAUGGGGGGACCAUCCUCCAAGGCUAAAUACUCCUGACUGACCGAUAGUGAACCAGUACCGUGAGGGAAAGGCGAAAAGAACCCCGGCGAGGGGAGUGAAAAAGAACCUGAAACCGUGUACGUACAAGCAGUGGGAGCCUCUUAAUGGGGUGACUGCGUACCUUUUGUAUAAUGGGUCAGCGACUUAUAUUCUGUAGCAAGGUUAACCGAAUAGGGGAGCCGAAGGGAAACCGAGUCUUAACUGGGCGUUAAGUUGCAGGGUAUAGACCCGAAACCCGGUGAUCUAGCCAUGGGCAGGUUGAAGGUUGGGUAACACUAACUGGAGGACCGAACCGACUAAUGUUGAAAAAUUAGCGGAUGACUUGUGGCUGGGGGUGAAAGGCCAAUCAAACCGGGAGAUAGCUGGUUCUCCCCGAAAGCUAUUUAGGUAGCGCCUCGUGAAUUCAUCUCCGGGGGUAGAGCACUGUUUCGGCAAGGGGGUCAUCCCGACUUACCAACCCGAUGCAAACUGCGAAUACCGGAGAAUGUUAUCACGGGAGACACACGGCGGGUGCUAACGUCCGUCGUGAAGAGGGAAACAACCCAGACCGCCAGCUAAGGUCCCAAAGUCAUGGUUAAGUGGGAAACGAUGUGGGAAGGCCCAGACAGCCAGGAUGUUGGCUUAGAAGCAGCCAUCAUUUAAAGAAAGCGUAAUAGCUCACUGGUCGAGUCGGCCUGCGCGGAAGAUGUAACGGGGCUAAACCAUGCACCGAAGCUGCGGCAGCGACACUAUGUGUUGUUGGGUAGGGGAGCGUUCUGUAAGCCUGUGAAGGUGGCCUGUGAGGGUUGCUGGAGGUAUCAGAAGUGCGAAUGCUGACAUAAGUAACGAUAAAGCGGGUGAAAAGCCCGCUCGCCGGAAGACCAAGGGUUCCUGUCCAACGUUAAUCGGGGCAGGGUGAGUCGACCCCUAAGGCGAGGCCGAAAGGCGUAGUCGAUGGGAAACAGGUUAAUAUUCCUGUACUUGGUGUUACUGCGAAGGGGGGACGGAGAAGGCUAUGUUGGCCGGGCGACGGUUGUCCCGGUUUAAGCGUGUAGGCUGGUUUUCCAGGCAAAUCCGGAAAAUCAAGGCUGAGGCGUGAUGACGAGGCACUACGGUGCUGAAGCGACAAAUGCCCUGCUUCCAGGAAAAGCCUCUAAGCAUCAGGUAACAUCAAAUCGUACCCCAAACCGACACAGGUGGUCAGGUAGAGAAUACCAAGGCGCUUGAGAGAACUCGGGUGAAGGAACUAGGCAAAAUGGUGCCGUAACUUCGGGAGAAGGCACGCUGAUAUGUAGGUGAAGCGACUUGCUCGUGGAGCUGAAAUCAGUCGAAGAUACCAGCUGGCUGCAACUGUUUAUUAAAAACACAGCACUGUGCAAACACGAAAGUGGACGUAUACGGUGUGACGCCUGCCCGGUGCCGGAAGGUUAAUUGAUGGGGUUAGCGGUAACGCGAAGCUCUUGAUCGAAGCCCCGGUAAACGGCGGCCGUAACUAUAACGGUCCUAAGGUAGCGAAAUUCCUUGUCGGGUAAGUUCCGACCUGCACGAAUGGCGUAAUGAUGGCCAGGCUGUCUCCACCCGAGACUCAGUGAAAUUGAACUCGCUGUGAAGAUGCAGUGUACCCGCGGCAAGACGGAAAGACCCCGUGAACCUUUACUAUAGCUUGACACUGAACAUUGAGCCUUGAUGUGUAGGAUAGGUGGGAGGCUUUGAAGUGUGGACGCCAGUCUGCAUGGAGCCGACCUUGAAAUACCACCCUUUAAUGUUUGAUGUUCUAACGUGGGCCCCUUACCGGGGUUGCGGACAGUGUCUGGUGGGUAGUUUGACUGGGGCGGUCUCCUCCUAAAGAGUAACGGAGGAGCACGAAGGUUGGCUAAUCCUGGUCGGACAUCAGGAGGUUAGUGCAAUGGCAUAAGCCAGCUUGACUGCGAGCGUGACGGCGCGAGCAGGUGCGAAAGCAGGUCAUAGUGAUCCGGUGGUUCUGAAUGGAAGGGCCAUCGCUCAACGGAUAAAAGGUACUCCGGGGAUAACAGGCUGAUACCGCCCAAGAGUUCAUAUCGACGGCGGUGUUUGGCACCUCGAUGUCGGCUCAUCACAUCCUGGGGCUGAAGUAGGUCCCAAGGGUAUGGCUGUUCGCCAUUUAAAGUGGUACGCGAGCUGGGUUUAGAACGUCGUGAGACAGUUCGGUCCCUAUCUGCCGUGGGCGCUGGAGAACUGAGGGGGGCUGCUCCUAGUACGAGAGGACCGGAGUGGACGCAUCACUGGUGUUCGGGUUGUCAUGCCAAUGGCACUGCCCGGUAGCUAAAUGCGGAAGAGAUAAGUGCUGAAAGCAUCUAAGCACGAAACUUGCCCCGAGAUGAGUUCUCCCUGACUCCUUGAGAGUCCUGAAGGAACGUUGAAGACGACGACGUUGAUAGGCCGGGUGUGUAAGCGCAGCGAUGCGUUGAGCUAACCGGUACUAAUGAACCGUGAGGCUUAACCUUACAACGCCGAAG